GCGGCAACAGCUCAAAUUUGAAAUCUGGCUCUCGGGCCCGAGUUGUAAUUUGUAGAGGAUGCUUUUGGUGAGGUGCCUUCCGAGUUCCCUGGAACGGGACGCCAUAGAGGGUGAGAGCCCCGUCUGGUUGGACGCCGAACCUCUGUAAAGCUCCUUCGACGAGUCGAGUAGUUUGGGAAUGCUGCUCUAAAUGGGAGGUAUAUGUCUUCUAAAGCUAAAUACCGGCCAGAGACCGAUAGCGCACAAGUAGAGUGAUCGAAAGAUGAAAAGAACUUUGAAAAGAGAGUUAAACAGUACGUGAAAUUGUUGAAAGGGAAGCGCUUGUGACCAGACUUGGGCUUGGUUGAUCAUCCGGGGUUCUCCCCGGUGCACUCUUCCGGCCCAGGCCAGCAUCAGUUCGCCCUGGGGGACAAAGGCAUCGGGAACGUGGCUCUCUCCGGGGAGUGUUAUAGCCCGUUGCGUAAUACCCUGUGGCGGACUGAGGUUCGCGCAUUCGCAAGGAUGCUGGCGUAAUGGUCAUCAGUGA
Molecule: ribosomal RNA, 526 nt
Filed under: Fusarium sp.
Lineage: Eukaryota; Fungi; Ascomycota; Sordariomycetes; Hypocreales; Nectriaceae
Description: LSU rRNA
Rfam family: Eukaryotic large subunit ribosomal RNA
Source: RNAcentral